Molecule: ribosomal RNA, 483 nt
Filed under: uncultured beta proteobacterium
Lineage: Bacteria; Pseudomonadati; Pseudomonadota; Betaproteobacteria
Description: bacterial SSU rRNA
Rfam family: Bacterial small subunit ribosomal RNA
Source: RNAcentral
GAGUUUGAUCCUGGCUCAGAUUGAACGCUGGCGGCAUGCUUUACACAUGCAAGUCGAACGGCAGCGCGGGGCAACCUGGCGGCGAGUGGCGAACGGGUGAGUAAUAUAUCGGAACGUACCCAAGAGUGGGGGAUAACGUAGCGAAAGUUACGCUAAUACCGCAUACGAUCUAAGGAUGAAAGCAGGGGACCGCAAGGCCUUGUGCUCCUGGAGCGGCCGAUAUCUGAUUAGCUAGUUGGUGAGGUAAUGGCUCACCAAGGCGACGAUCAGUAGCUGGUCUGAGAGGACGACCAGCCACACUGGAACUGAGACACGGUCCAGACUCCUACGGGAGGCAGCAGUGGGGAAUUUUGGACAAUGGGCGCAAGCCUGAUCCAGCAAUGCCGCGUGAGUGAAGAAGGCCUUCGGGUUGUAAAGCUCUUUUGUCAGGGAAGAAACGGCGCCGGCUAAUAUCCGGCGCUAAUGACGGUACCUGAAGAAUAA